UUGCUAUCCAACACAGUUAAUUCAUCAAUACUUUUGAUUUUUUCUAUGUCAAGCGAAAGCGCGUUAAGCCGUGCAUUUGCCAUAGGUUUUAAGAUAUUGAACAUAUCACUAAUCAUUACAAACAUUUGUGAAUUUCUUGUUUCUGUUUUUUACGAUUCGCACGACACAAGGAACAGCAUGUGUGAACUCGUUCGCACUGCUUCUGAUUUUCACCAACUGGUUCUGUUAUGUUGCUGUGCUCCACUGUAUCAUCAUAUUCUAUCGGUUCAUCAUUAGAAUUUGUUCGAUCAACCAUAUCAACGGAAUCAUGCUGGGUCGGCGAAACAAUGGGCACUGUGGUUGUUUUUACCGUGGCUGUUUUCGACGAAGGAAACGCAGUUUUCAAGUCCGAUGGCGACCCAGUAACACGAGGACAAUAUCACUGUUUUGCAAACACACAAACGAUGCACGGCUGUAAAAUACUACAUUAGAGUUCCACUAUUCAAAUAACUCCGACGCGUUCAACUAUUUGGCCGAUAUGAAAUUGUAAACAGAGUUUGAUUUGACAGCUUUGAAUAAACGC
This is a long non-coding RNA of Anopheles gambiae (African malaria mosquito), 562 nucleotides long. RefSeq lists it as uncharacterized. Lineage: Eukaryota; Metazoa; Arthropoda; Insecta; Diptera; Culicidae. The transcript has 3 exons. The record is from RefSeq and is a predicted model, not a curated record.